GCGUCGUUAGCUCAGCUGGUUAGAGCAUCCGACUUUUAAUCGGAAUGUCGGUAGUUCGAAUCUACCACGACGCA
This 74-nucleotide transfer RNA is filed under the name Morganella phage vB_MmoM_MP1. It matches the Rfam family "tRNA". From Rfam's summary of the family: Transfer RNA (tRNA) molecules are approximately 80 nucleotides in length. Their secondary structure includes four short double-helical elements and three loops (D, anti-codon, and T loops). RNAcentral also lists the same sequence under 2 other names. Lineage: Duplodnaviria; Heunggongvirae; Uroviricota; Caudoviricetes; Pantevenvirales; Straboviridae. The record is from Rfam by way of RNAcentral.